Molecule: ribosomal RNA, 908 nt
Filed under: uncultured bacterium
Lineage: Bacteria
Description: bacterial SSU rRNA
Rfam family: Bacterial small subunit ribosomal RNA
Source: RNAcentral
AGAGUUUGAUCAUGGCUCAGGAUGAACGCUAGCGACAGGCCUAACACAUGCAAGUCGAGGGGCAUCGGGACGUAGCAAUACGUUGCCGGCAACCGGCGGAUGGGUGAGUAACGCGUAUGCAACCUACCCGUAGCAGGGGGAUAGCCCGUUGAAAGACGGAUUAAUACCCCGUAACACAGGGGCUCCGCAUGGAGAUUAUUGUUAAAGGGUCAUUUCUUUUAGAGGUGGUCCGGCUGCGGAUGGGCAUGCGUUCCAUUAGGUAGUUGGUGUAGGUAACGGCUCACCAAGCCGACGAUGGAUAGGGGAACUGAGAGGUUGGUCCCCCACACUGGUACUGAGACACGGACCAGACUCCUACGGGAGGCAGCAGUGAGGAAUCUUGGUCAAUGGACGGAAGUCUGAACCAGCCAUGUCGCGUGAAGGAGGACGGCCCUAAGGGUUGUAAACUUCUUUUGCAGGGGAAUAAAGUAUUCCACGAGAUGGGAUAUUGCAAGUACGCUGCGAAUAAGGAUCGGCUAACUCCGUGCCAGCAGCCGCGGUAAUACGGAGGAUCCGAGCGUUAUCCGGAUUUAUUGGGUUUAAAGGGUGCGCAGGCGGGAAGUUAGGUCGGCGGUGAAAUUUCGGGGCUCAACCCCGAGAGUGCCGUUGAAACCGGUUUUCUUGAGUGCGGAUGAGGUAGGCGGAAUUUGUGGUGUAUCGGUGAAAUGCGUAGAUAUCACAAGGAACACCGAUUGCGGAGGCAGCUUACUAAACCGUUACUGACGCUCAUGCACGAAAGCGUGGGGAUCAAACAGGAUUAGAUACCCUGGUAGUCCACGCAGUAAACGAUGAUUACUAGCUGUUUGCGAUACAGUGUAAGCGGCUUAGCGAAAGCGUUAAGUAAUCCACCUGGGGAGUACGUUUGCAGA